Molecule: ribosomal RNA, 681 nt
Filed under: uncultured eukaryote
Lineage: Eukaryota
Description: SSU rRNA
Rfam family: Eukaryotic small subunit ribosomal RNA
Source: RNAcentral
GGCGCGCAAAUUACCCAAUCCCGACACGGGGAGGUAGUGACAAUAAAUACUGAUACAGGGCUCUUUUGGGUCUUGUAAUUGGAAUGAGUACAAUUUAAAUCCCUUAACGAGGAACAAUUGGAGGGCAAGUCUGGUGCCAGCAGCCGCGGUAAUUCCAGCUCCAAUAGCGUAUAUUAAAGUUGUUGUGGUUAAAAAGCUCGUAGUUGAACCUUGGGCCUGGCUGGCCGGUCCGCCUCACCGCGUGUACUGGUCCGGCCGGGCCUUUCCCUCUGUGGAACCCCAUGCCCUUCACUGGGUGUGGCGGGGAAACAGGACUUUUACUUUGAAAAAAUUAGAGUGCUCCAGGCAGGCCUAUGCUCGAAUACAUUAGCAUGGAAUAAUAGAAUAGGACGUGUGGUUCUAUUUUGUUGGUUUCUAGGACCGCCGUAAUGAUUAAUAGGGACAGUCGGGGGCAUCAGUAUUCAAUUGUCAGAGGUGAAAUUCUUGGAUUUAUUGAAGACUAACUACUGCGAAAGCAUUUGCCAAGGAUGUUUUCAUUAAUCAGGAACGAAAGUUAGGGGAUCGAAGACGAUCAGAUACCGUCGUAGUCUUAACCAUAAACUAUGCCGACUAGGGAUCGGACGAUGUUAUUUUUUGACUCGUUCGGCACCUUACGAGAAAUCAAAGUGCUUGGGCUCCAGG